RNAcentral lists this long non-coding RNA (1710 nucleotides) under Canis lupus familiaris (dog). RNAcentral's name for it is "lncRNA (ENSCAFG00030009751.1)". Lineage: Eukaryota; Metazoa; Chordata; Mammalia; Carnivora; Canidae. The record is from RNAcentral.
AUGCCUGACACUCCGUGGCUGCUUCUGUCCUGGACGCACGCCUCCCGAGUGCACACACAUACACACAUAACCAGCUCUGUCCCCUCCAGACAUUCCAAGGAAAUCCUGCUGGGCCACAGACUGUGUGUGUGUGUGUGUGUGUGUGUGUGUCCACCCUGCACACAGCCCUGUGUGCACACACAGGGCACACACAUCCCUCCCCACGUGCACAUAGCGCCCCACCAGCUAACACGCCCACCCCCCUGUCCCCCAGCUUUUGCCAGUUGCUGGAGUCCACACAUGCAAACACACACACACACACACACACACACACACACACACACACACGCAGCCCGGCAGUGGCCCUGGCCCUGCCAGAGCUGCAGUCUAUGCCGGUCUCCGCCGCUUCCCAGGGCUGCCUCCCCGCUUGCCCCGCACCAGCACCACGGAGAAGGGGGCAAAGCCUUUGCGGGGUCCCCACCCAGCCAGGGGACCCCACUCCCCGGAUCUGGCCCUUACCAAACCCAUCGCCCUCCUGCGGGUAAAGGGGGUAAAGCCCCACCCUGCCCCCUCCCCCCUGGAGCAGCGGCGAUCAAACCCCCCUCACCGGCUACGAAGAUGAAUUCCUCGGGCCGGCAGCCCCCCGUGAGAGAGGGGGACGAGGGCCCCGAUUCGCAAGGAUGGGGGCUGAGAGGUGCGCCGUGGCUCUGCCCGGAACAGCCGUCCACCCUCGAGCCUCUGCACCAGCCCCCGAGAAUGCUCACCUCACCGGCCGUCCUCCGCGUCCUCCCGCCCGCCUCCGCCCACCGCCCCCGGCACCCUCCCGCGCACGGGGUCCCGGGGGGCUCGCGGUGGUCCCCGGACCGGGAGCCCCUGCGGGCGGCUUUCCCGGCCUCAUCCUCCGCCGCCCCCGGCUGUGGCCCCCGCAGGCCCACCCCCACCGGCGGACCGGGUGCCCCUCGGCCCCAGCGCUCACUCCCUCCGCCGCGGCCGGACUCACUCACCUCCAGCCCGGCCGGGAUCCGGGCCGAGCGCCGCUUCCGGAGGCGGCGGCGGCUGCGGGGCCUGCGCGCGAGUGUGAGUGUGAGUGAGUGUGAGCGCGGGCGCGGGUGCGGGUGUGCGCGGCGUGGCCCGCGUGUGCGUGUGUGUGUGUCUGCGAGCCCGCGUGUGCGCGCAGACGCCCCCGCCCCCGCCCGGCCCGGGCCGCCGCCGCCGGGGUGGGAGCGCAGCGUGCGUCAGGGGCCGCGGCCCGCGGUCUGUCCGUCCGUCCGUCCGCAGGCGCGUCCGCAGCGAGACCCCGCCCGCCCCCCUCCCCCGGCCCGAUCCUUCCACAGACACGCGCGCACGCAGACACGCGGCCGCGGGGCGGGGGCCCGCCCGGCUCCAACGCCGCAGCUGCAGCGCCCGGGGAGGCGGCGGCGGCGGCCGCGGGGAGCGCCGAGCCCCGGCCCCGCCCGGCCCCCCGCCCCGCUCACCCCGCGGGCUCCGGGUCCCGCCGCCGCCGUCGCCGUCGCCGUCGCCGUCGCGGGCGCAUUCAACAGCUGGAGGCAAACUUGCCGCGGGGCGAGCCGCCCGGCGCGCAGCGCCCCCCAGCGCCCGCCCGGGGACGCCCGCGGCCCCCCGACUCCCCCUGGGCGGCUGGACCCCUCCUCACCUCGUCCCGGCGCCCCGCCGAGCUCCGCGCUCCACCGCGGGCAACCCGCCAAGUGCGGCCGCUGCGUUCCCAUUUGA